UAAGCAAAAUGGAGUAAAGGAUAACUCAUUGGUUUCAUUGUCCAAAGUUAAAGGUUUAAGUCCUUUUUUGUUAAUC
This 76-nucleotide transfer RNA is filed under the name Babesia caballi. RNAcentral describes it as "tRNA-Met". It matches the Rfam family "tRNA". Rfam says of the family: Transfer RNA (tRNA) molecules are approximately 80 nucleotides in length. Their secondary structure includes four short double-helical elements and three loops (D, anti-codon, and T loops). Further hydrogen bonds mediate the characteristic L-shaped molecular structure. tRNAs have two regions of fundamental functional importance: the anti-codon, which is responsible for specific mRNA codon recognition, and the 3' end, to which the tRNAs corresponding amino acid is attached (by aminoacyl-tRNA synthetases). tRNAs cope with the degeneracy of the genetic code in two manners: having more than one tRNA (with a specific anti-codon) for a particular amino acid; and 'wobble' base-pairing, i.e. permitting non-standard base-pairing at the 3rd anti-codon position. Lineage: Eukaryota; Apicomplexa; Aconoidasida; Piroplasmida; Babesiidae. The record is from RNAcentral.